Molecule: ribosomal RNA, 774 nt
Filed under: uncultured Neocallimastigales
Lineage: Eukaryota; Fungi; Neocallimastigomycota; Neocallimastigomycetes; Neocallimastigales
Description: partial large subunit ribosomal RNA
Rfam family: Eukaryotic large subunit ribosomal RNA
Source: RNAcentral
UAUACAUGACUCUGCGCAUAUCAAUAAGCGGAGGAAAAGAAACUAACAAGGAUUCCCUUAGUAACGGCGAGUGAAGCGGGAAGAGCUCAAAUUUGAAAUCUUCAAGGUUUUACCUUGACGAAUUGUAGUUUAAAGAAGUGUUUUCUGCUGAAGUUUUGGUAAAAGUUCUUUGGAAUAGGACAUCAUAGAGGGUGAGAAUCCCGUAUUUGACCAUUAUUUUCAGCUUUGUGAUACACUUUCAAAGAGUCGGAUUGUUUGGGAAUGCAGUCCAAAAUGGGUGGUAAAUUUCAUCUAAAGCUAAAUAUUGGCGAGAGACCGAUAGCGAACAAGUACCGCGAGGGAAAGAUGAAAAGAACUUUGAAAAGAGAGUUAAACAGUACGUGAAAUUGUCAAAAGGGAAGCGUUUGACACCAGUGUUGUUUUCUCGAAAAUCAAUUAAAAAUGGCUCGAUUUUGUAUUGCUUGAGACCUUAAAAGCUCACUGUACAUUUUUCGUGUCUUUUUUAAUGCACUUUUCGUUUAACAAGUCAACAUCAGUUUCUUUUGUUGUAAAAGGGUCAUUGGAAGGUGGCUUUCUUUUCGGAGAAAGUGUUUAUAGCCUUUGGCCUCUGCAAUCGGAGAGACUGAGGUCUGCAGCGUAGACUCUUCGGGGUUAGAUACAUUUGUGCUAAGUUAUAGCUUUUUAUAGACAACUUGUUGACUAUAAUUAGUCUUGUAGCUUACUCGCUUAUGCUAUUUUACCUACGCUUAGGAUGUUGAAGAUGUAGCACAUCAU